CAGAGUUGCAAAACUCCCUAAACCAUUGUGAACGUUACCUAUACCGUUGCUUCGGCGGGCGGCCCCGGGGUUUACCCCCCGGGCGCCCCUGGGCCCCACCGCGGGCGCCCGCCGGAGGUCACCAAACUCUUGAUAAUUUAUGGCCUCUCUGAGUCUUCUGUACUGAAUAAGUCA
RNAcentral lists this unclassified non-coding RNA (174 nucleotides) under soil metagenome. Its description in RNAcentral is "partial internal transcribed spacer 1". The record is from RNAcentral.